Molecule: ribosomal RNA, 503 nt
Filed under: uncultured bacterium
Lineage: Bacteria
Description: bacterial SSU rRNA
Rfam family: Bacterial small subunit ribosomal RNA
Source: RNAcentral
UAGUCCACACCGUAAACGCUGUCUACUAGCUGUUUGUGAGUUUAACUCGUGAGUAGCGUAGCUAACGCGCUAAGUAGACCGCCUGGGGAGUACGGCCGCAAGGUUAAAACUCAAAUGAAUUGACGGGGGCCCGCACAAGCGGUGGAGCAUGUGGUUUAAUUCGAUGCAACGCGAAGAACCUUACCUACACUUGACAUGCAGAGAACUUAGCAGAGAUGCUUUGGUGCCUUCGGGAACUCUGACACAGGUGCUGCAUGGCUGUCGUCAGCUCGUGUCGUGAGAUGUUGGGUUAAGUCCCGCAACGAGCGCAACCCUUGUCCUUAGUUGCCAUCAUUUAGUUGGGCACUCUAAGGAGACUGCCGGUGACAAACCGGGAGGAAGGUGGGACGACGUCAAGUCAUCAUGGCCCUUACGUGUAGGGGCUACACACGUGCUACAAUGGUAUGUACAGAGGGAAGCGAACUUGCGAGAGUAAGCGGAUCCCUUAAAGCAUAUCGUAGUCC